Molecule: ribosomal RNA, 507 nt
Filed under: uncultured bacterium
Lineage: Bacteria
Description: partial 16S ribosomal RNA
Rfam family: Bacterial small subunit ribosomal RNA
Source: RNAcentral
GACGAACGCUGGCGGCGUGCUUAACACAUGCAAGUCGAACGGGCCUUGUCCCCUUUUUUUUGGGGGUGGGGUUAGUGGCGCACGGGUGAGUAACACGUGAGUAACCUGCCCCUCACUUCUGGAUAACCGCUUGAAAGGGUGGCUAAUACGGGGUGUUCUGGCCUGCUCGCAUGGGUGGGUUUGGAAAGAUUCGACCGGUUUUGGUUGUUUUGGUGGGGGAUGGGCUCGCGGCCUAUCAGCUUGUUGGUGGGGUGAUGGCCUGCCAAGGCUUUGACGGGUAGCCGGCCUGAGAGGGUGGGCGGUCACACUGGGACUGAGACACGGCCCAGACUCCUACGGGAGGCAGCAGUGGGGAAUAUUGCACAAUGGGCGCAAGGCUGAUGCAGCGACGCCGCGUGAGGGAUGGAGGCCUUCGGGUUGUGAACCUCUUUCGCCAGUGAAGAAGGUCCUGCUCUUUGUGGUGGGGUUGACGGUAGCUGGGUUAAUGAAGCGCCGGCUAACUACGUG